Long non-coding RNA from Gasterosteus aculeatus aculeatus (three-spined stickleback), 1603 nucleotides. Lineage: Eukaryota; Metazoa; Chordata; Actinopteri; Perciformes; Gasterosteidae. The record is from Ensembl.
CACAAAACAAAAGGAGGUGACUCACAGAUCCAAGCGCCUGGGCUCAAUCGUCUCUUGUUCGAAGGCGGCACUUUAGGAAUCUGAAGAACGUGGUGAUGGAGUGGCGGCGCAGAUCUCCGCCUGUCUCUCAGUGGACGUCCGCUCACCGUCUGACAAUCAACCCCCCCGACGAGACCGAACUGCUUCUCUUUCCGGGGAAGGAUUCUCCUACACAGGACAUGACGGUCACCUUUUGGCAACUCCGUGUUAACGCCCACUUUGACUGGCAGGAACCUCGGCGUGACACUCGACAGCCGACUCUCCCAACUCCCGACAGGCUUCAGUGAAGGCCUCGCGGCCCAGAAACGGGAGCAGCAACUCCGCCCGUGGUUGGCCGAUCUGCCCCUUUCGACCCCUUUUCCGAACCGCCUGCUCCCAUUGGACACGACGAAACCCGCAAAUGACGACUGAGAAUGAAUGACAUCUGCCUGUAAAGUUCGAGCCCCUAACCCCCCUGCCGUCAUUCAAGGACAGCGGAUUCAUUUCAUCAUUUUGUUCAAAACGUCAAAGGAAAAGGAUUAACGGAUCAUAUGCUGGAUGCUUGGUGGCUAUUUUUGCUCUGAGAGAAACGAUACUUGUAUCAACGUCUUCCGCUUCGCUGAGAAAUGUGUGAGCACCGCCGUUUGCUGAUUUUUUGGACUAAUUAAUAUAUCUUAUUUCAUAACUUGUUGGAGUUGUGUUUCAAACAGUGUGAAGCAUUCCCAGCUGCGCGGCUUUAACCACACAUGAAUACGUCUGCCAUAAGUUAGUGCACACUGGUUUCCUAUUAUGCUUUUUAACCGAAGCCAUUUGCCGUAGCAGGAAAUUCCCAAAUAGCUGCACACUGUAAGAGGGAGUCGCCGAGGCCUAUGAGGACACCUUGAGUACAUCACAUUACUUUACAGGUCAUCUAGCAGACGCUUUUAUCCAAAGGGACUUACAUUGCAUUUUUAACACUUGGCUUUUUACAUUUUUGCCCGGGGAGCAGUUAGGGGUCAGGUGUCUUGCUCAGGGACACUUUAAGUCACUUUGUACCUUUUCUGUUAGUCAAAAGGUACACUUAUGACCUCUUAAAGACCAAUACUGUAUUAUUGAGGGAACAUUCUUCAAAAGUGUACCCGUAAGUACAAAACUGUUGUUCUCUCGUACCUCUAUUUUUGUGUGUGUAUUGAAUGGGCCUAACCCUAACCCAUCUCCUCCCUCUAGGAGGGGGAAUCACUAGUCACAAGGGUCCCGUUGGACAUGUGCCCACACACACACACACACACACACACACAGGAAGACGAGCAGAUCCCUCCCACGCUGUCAGUCCGGUUGUUGAGGUGAACAGAGCCGGCGGGGGAAGCCCACAUUCCAGGUCCACAAAACAAGUCAAGAUAAGAUAAUGACGUCUUCAUCACAGCAGAUUUCCCCGAAAUGAGCAGCCUGUCAGGACCGAGGUUAACCUUCCCCCACAGAUCCCUUUCCAUUCGAGCGCCUUGGACAGAGGGAACGUACCUCAGGGGGAGCACAGACUGGUCUCUUAUCUAACAGGACCUCCUCUGUCACAGCGGGCGCCACCUGUCGUGUACUGAAGGCUCCUCUC